UAAAAGUUAUGAAAGAGGCUUUUUUUGG
Molecule: non-coding RNA, 28 nt
Filed under: Rattus norvegicus (Norway rat)
Lineage: Eukaryota; Metazoa; Chordata; Mammalia; Rodentia; Muridae
Source: RNAcentral